GGUUAAGCGACUAAGCGUACACGGUGGAUGCCCUGGCAGUCAGAGGCGAUGAAGGACGUGCUAAUCUGCGAAAAGCGCCGGUAAGGUGAUAUGAACCGUUAUAACCGGCGAUUUCCGAAUGGGGAAACCCAGUGUGACUCGUCACACUAUCAUUAACUGAAUCCAUAGGUUAAUGAGGCGAACCGGGGGAACUGAAACAUCUAAGUACCCCGAGGAAAAGAAAUCAACCGAGAUUCCCCCAGUAGCGGCGAGCGAACGGGGAGGAGCCCAGAGCCUGAAUCAGCAUGUGUGUUAGUGGAAGCGUCUGGAAAGGCGCGCGAUACAGGGUGAGAGCCCCGUACACAAAAGCGCAYAUGYUGUGAGCUCGAUGAGUAGGGCGGGACACGUGGUAUCCUGUCUGAAUAUGGGGGGACCAUCCUCCAAGGCUAAAUACUCCUGACUGACCGAUAGUGAACCAGUACCGUGAGGGAAAGGCGAAAAGAACCCCGGCGAGGGGAGUGAAACAGAACCUGAAACCGUGUACGUACAAGCAGUGGGAGCACAGGUUUACCUGUGUGACUGCGUACCUUUUGUAUAAUGGGUCAGCGACUUAUAUUCUGUAGCAAGGUUAACCGCAUAGGGGAGCCGAAGGGAAACCGAGUCUUAAUUGGGCGUUAAGUUGCAGGGUAUAGACCCGAAACCCGGUGAUCUAGCCAUGGGCAGGUUGAAGGUUGGGUAACACUAACUGGAGGACCGAACCGACUAAUGUUGAAAAAUUAGCGGAUGACCUGUGGCUGGGGGUGAAAGGCCAAUCAAACCGGGAGAUAGCUGGUUCUCCCCGAAAGCUAUUUAGGUAGCGCCUCGUGAACUCAUCUCCGGGGGUAGAGCACUGUUUCGGCUAGGGGGCCAUCCCGGCUUACCAACCCGAUGCAAACUGCGAAUACCGGAGAAUGUUAUCACGGGAGACACACGGCGGGUGCUAACGUCCGUCGUGAAGAGGGAAACAACCCAGACCGCCAGCUAAGGUCCCAAAGUCAUGGUUAAGUGGGAAACGAUGUGGGAAGGCCCAGACAGCCAGGAUGUUGGCUUVGACGCAGCCAYCAUUUAAAGAAAGCGUAAUAGCUCACUGGUCGAGUCGGCNNGCGCGGAAGAUGUAACGGGGCUAAACCAUGCACCGAAGCUGCGGCAGCGACACUUUAGUGUUGUUGGGUAGGGGAGCGUUCUGUAAGCCGUUGAAGGUGUCCUGUGAGGGGUGCUGGAGGUAUCAGAAGUGCGAAUGCUGACAUAAGUAACGAUAAAGCGGGUGAAAAGCCCGCUCGCCGGAAGACCAAGGGUUCCUGUCCAACGUUAAUCGGGGCAGGGUGAGUCGACCCCUAAGGCGAGGCCGAAAGGYGUAGUCGAUGGGAAACAGGUUAAUAUUCCCGUACUUGGUGUUACUGCGAAGGGGGGACGGAGAAGGCUAUGUUGGCCGGGCGACGGUUGUCCCGGUUUAAGCGUGUAGGCUGGUUUUCCAGGCAAAUCCGGAAAAUCAAGGCUGAGGCGUGAUGACGAGGCACUACGGUGCUGAAGCAACAAAUGCCCUGCUUCCAGGAAAAGCCUCUAAGCAUCAGGUAACAUCAAAUCGUACCCCAAACCGACACAGGUGGUCAGGUAGAGAAUACCAAGGCGCUUGAGAGAACUCGGGUGAAGGAACUAGGCAAAAUGGUGCCGUAACUUCGGGAGAAGGCACGCUGACACGUAGGUGAAGUGAUUUACUCAUGGAGCUGAAGUCAGUCGAAGAUACCAGCUGGCUGCAACUGUUUAUUAAAAACACAGCACUGUGCAAACACGAAAGUGGACGUAUACGGUGUGACGCCUGCCCGGUGCCGGAAGGUUAAUUGAUGGGGUCAGCGCAAGCGAAGCUCCUGAUCGAAGCCCCGGUAAACGGCGGCCGUAACUAUAACGGUCCUAAGGUAGCGAAAUUCCUUGUCGGGUAAGUUCCGACCUGCACGAAUGGCGUAAUGAUGGCCAGGCUGUCUCCACCCGAGACUCAGUGAAAUUGAACUCGCUGUGAAGAUGCAGUGUACCCGCGGCAAGACGGAAAGACCCCGUGAACCUUUACUAUAGCUUGACACUGAACAUUGAGCCUUGAUGUGUAGGAUAGGUGGUAGGCUUUGAAGCGUGGACGCCAGUCUGCGUGGAGCCGACCUUGAAAUACCACCCUUUAAUGUUUGAUGUUCUAACGUGGACCCGUAAUCCGGGUUGCGGACAGUGUCUGGUGGGUAGUUUGACUGGGGCGGUCUCCUCCUAAAGAGUAACGGAGGAGCACGAAGGUUGGCUAAUCCUGGUCGGACAUCAGGAGGUUAGUGCAAUGGCAUAAGCCAGCUUGACUGCGAGCGUGACGGCGCGAGCAGGUGCGAAAGCAGGUCAUAGUGAUCCGGUGGUUCUGAAUGGAAGGGCCAUCGCUCAACGGAUAAAAGGUACUCCGGGGAUAACAGGCUGAUACCGCCCAAGAGUUCAUAUCGACGGCGGUGUUUGGCACCUCGAUGUCGGCUCAUCACAUCCUGGGGCUGAAGUAGGUCCCAAGGGUAUGGCUGUUCGCCAUUUAAAGUGGUACGCGAGCUGGGUUUAGAACGUCGUGAGACAGUUCGGUCCCUAUCUGCCGUGGGCGCUGGAAGACUGAGGGGGGCUGCUCCUAGUACGAGAGGACCGGAGUGGACGCAUCACUGGUGUUCGGGUUGUCAUGCCAAUGGCACUGCCCGGUAGCUAAAUGCGGAAAAGAUAAGUGCUGAAAGCAUCUAAGCACGAAACUUGCCCCGAGAUGAGUCUUCCCUGAGACUUUGAGUCUCCUGAAGGAACGUUAAAGACGAUGACGUUGAUAGGCCGGGUGUGUAAGCGCARRGUUGCGUUGAGCUAACCGGUACUAAUGAACCGUGAGGCUUAACCUU
This 2906-nucleotide ribosomal RNA is filed under the name Salmonella enterica subsp. diarizonae serovar 61:i:z. RNAcentral describes it as "bacterial LSU rRNA". It matches the Rfam family "Bacterial large subunit ribosomal RNA". Lineage: Bacteria; Pseudomonadati; Pseudomonadota; Gammaproteobacteria; Enterobacterales; Enterobacteriaceae. The record is from RNAcentral.